Molecule: long non-coding RNA, 888 nt
Organism: Mobula hypostoma (lesser devil ray)
Lineage: Eukaryota; Metazoa; Chordata; Chondrichthyes; Myliobatiformes; Myliobatidae
Exons: 4
Source: RefSeq, a predicted model, not a curated record
CACACCCUCUUCGAGAGGCAUAGGUAGUCACAACCUUUCUCACAGGGUGGAAAUGUCACAGCUUUAAGGUGAGAGGUGUGGACUUAUCGGUUGCAUUAUUUGGGGAUUUUCUGUUAUCAUUUUAAAUACACAGCCAGAUGCACCAUGUCACUUUGAUCCUGAAAGCAAUCAAAGAUAAGGAACUCAAGGAAAUGCAGAGAUACCACCAAUGCUAUCUCUCCACAAUCUUUUGAACCCAUAGCAGGAAAAUGGAUCCUUUUCCAGGCCAACAUCUGCACCACUGAGGAUACAGUUACAGCCAAUUCUAAUGGUAGGUCACAUUUUUUCCAUGAAGCCCAGAAGUACAAGAUACCUGAAACAACCACUUUUCAGCUCUGUUAUGGGAAGACAAUAUCUGAUGAAUGUGGAGAAGAAUCCUGGAUGGAAUAGGACCCGCUCUUGGAGUUUCAUAACCGGCUAUUGUUGUUUGGCACGCCAAGGGCUCAGCCUAAGAUUCUGACUCGUAUUUGGAAGCCUAGGAUCUCGAGGCUCUGGAGACGGGCGGAUUGAGGGUCAAUGUCACUGUAGGCCACCCGUAUGUCGUUGGAAGAGUUGGAAUAUUUAUGACUGUGUCUGGAAACCCGAGAUCUUUGAGAUCUUCGGGCACAGAGCUUGAAAAAAGCCACAUAACGGACUUUUAACAUCGUAAAUCAGUGAGUUGUUUGUUUUGUCUCCCUGCUCGCUGGGAAAAUGGAGACACCUCUUUCUCCCUUAUUAGGGAGAGAGAGAACCUGUGGGAUGUUGAAUACCGGGUGAAACGCGAAGUCUUUGGAGUACUGCAAGUCUGAGUCUUUGCUGUUGCUUUGCUCAUGCUUGAGUGCUCGGUGGCGGGUGCUGAUACUUUUUUUC